GGGGAUGGGACAUAGCUCACUGGUAGGCCACCUGCUUUGCAUGCAGAAAGUCCCAGGUUCAAUCCCUGGCAUCUCUG
Molecule: non-coding RNA, 77 nt
Organism: Podarcis lilfordi (Lilford's wall lizard)
Lineage: Eukaryota; Metazoa; Chordata; Lepidosauria; Squamata; Lacertidae
Source: the annotation of a GenBank genome assembly